RNAcentral lists this small nucleolar RNA (79 nucleotides) under Sphenodon punctatus (tuatara). Lineage: Eukaryota; Metazoa; Chordata; Lepidosauria; Sphenodontia; Sphenodontidae. The record is from RNAcentral.
UAAAAUGUGGGAGUUAACUAUUCCUUUAUUAGAGUGAUCGGUGAUGAAUCUUUUUCAUCAUCUUUCGGCUGAUAUUGAA